UGGUCACUGUCAGUCAUUGUGUUUCAACCACAUGAUGAUUGUACUGUGACUACC
Molecule: microRNA precursor, 54 nt
Filed under: Ornithorhynchus anatinus (platypus)
Lineage: Eukaryota; Metazoa; Chordata; Mammalia; Monotremata; Ornithorhynchidae
Description: microRNA oan-mir-7433 precursor
Source: miRBase by way of RNAcentral